This is a non-coding RNA of Podarcis lilfordi (Lilford's wall lizard), 75 nucleotides long. Lineage: Eukaryota; Metazoa; Chordata; Lepidosauria; Squamata; Lacertidae. The record is from the annotation of a GenBank genome assembly.
GGAAAUACCAUAGCUCAGUGGCCGAGCAUCUGCUUUGCAUGCAGGAAGUCCCAAGUUCAAUUCCUGGUAUCUCCC